GAGUUUGAUCGUGGCUCAGGAUGAACGCUAGCUACAGGCUUAACACAUGCAAGUCGAGGGGCAGCAUUUUAGUUUGCUUGCAAACUAAAGAUGGCGACCGGCGCACGGGUGAGUAACGCGUAUGCAACUUGCCUAUCAGAGGGGGAUAACCCGGCGAAAGUCGGACUAAUACCGCAUGAAGCAGGGGCCCCGCAUGGGGAUAUUUGCUAAAGAUUCAUCGCUGAUAGAUAGGCAUGCGUUCCAUUAGGCAGUUGGCGGGUAACGGCCCACCAAACCG
This 277-nucleotide ribosomal RNA is filed under the name uncultured bacterium. RNAcentral's name for it is "partial 16S ribosomal RNA". It matches the Rfam family "Bacterial small subunit ribosomal RNA", at positions 9 to 275 of the family's 1533-position model. The record is from RNAcentral.